UUUAUGGAGAGUUUGAUCCUGGCUCAGGAUGAACGCUGGCGGCGUGCCUAAUACAUGCAAGUCGAGCGAACGGACGAGAAGCUUGCUUCUCUGAUGUUAGCGGCGGACGGGUGAGUAACACGUGGAUAACCUACCUAUAAGACUGGGAUAACUUCGGGAAACCGGAGCUAAUACCGGAUAAUAUUUUGAACCGCAUGGUUCAAAAGUGAAAGACGGUCUUGCUGUCACUUAUAGAUGGAUCCGCGCUGCAUUAGCUAGUUGGUAAGGUAACUGCUUACCAAGGCAACGAUGCAUAGCCGACCUGAGAGGGUGAUCGGCCACACUGGAACUGAGACACGGUCCAGACUCCUACGGGAGGCAGCAGUAGGGAAUCUUCCGCAAUGGGCGAAAGCCUGACGGAGCAACGCCGCGUGAGUGAUGAAGGUCUUCGGAUCGUAAAACUCUGUUAUUAGGGAAGAACAUAUGUGUAAGUAACUGUGCACAUCUUGACGGUACCUAAUCAGAAAGCCACGGCUAACUACGUGCCAGCAGCCGCGGUAAUACGUAGGUGGCAAGCGUUAUCCGGAAUUAUUGGGCGUAAAGCGCGCGUAGGCGGUUUUUUAAGUCUGAUGUGAAAGCCCACGGCUCAACCGUGGAGGGUCAUUGGAAACUGGAAAACUUGAGUGCAGAAGAGGAAAGUGGAAUUCCAUGUGUAGCGGUGAAAUGCGCAGAGAUAUGGAGGAACACCAGUGGCGAAGGCGACUUUCUGGUCUGUAACUGACGCUGAUGUGCGAAAGCGUGGGGAUCAAACAGGAUUAGAUACCCUGGUAGUCCACGCCGUAAACGAUGAGUGCUAAGUGUUAGGGGGUUUCCGCCCCUUAGUGCUGCAGCUAACGCAUUAAGCACUCCGCCUGGGGAGUACGACCGCAAGGUUGAAACUCAAAGGAAUUGACGGGGACCCGCACAAGCGGUGGAGCAUGUGGUUUAAUUCGAAGCAACGCGAAGAACCUUACCAAAUCUUGACAUCCUUUGACAACUCUAGAGAUAGAGCUUUCCCCUUCGGGGGACAAAGUGACAGGUGGUGCAUGGUUGUCGUCAGCUCGUGUCGUGAGAUGUUGGGUUAAGUCCCGCAACGAGCGCAACCCUUAAGCUUAGUUGCCAUCAUUAAGUUGGGCACUCUAAGUUGACUGCCGGUGACAAACCGGAGGAAGGUGGGGAUGACGUCAAAUCAUCAUGCCCCUUAUGAUUUGGGCUACACACGUGCUACAAUGGACAAUACAAAGGGCAGCGAAACCGCGAGGUCAAGCAAAUCCCAUAAAGUUGUUCUCAGUUCGGAUUGUAGUCUGCAACUCGACUACAUGAAGCUGGAAUCGCUAGUAAUCGUAGAUCAGCAUGCUACGGUGAAUACGUUCCCGGGUCUUGUACACACCGCCCGUCACACCACGAGAGUUUGUAACACCCGAAGCCGGUGGAGUAACCUUUUAGGAGCUAGCCGUCGAAGGUGGGACAAAUGAUUGGGGUGAAGUCGUAACAAGGUAGCCGUAUCGGAAGGUGCGGCUGGAUCACCUCCUUU
RNAcentral lists this ribosomal RNA (1552 nucleotides) under Staphylococcus aureus. RNAcentral's name for it is "16S ribosomal RNA". It matches the Rfam family "Bacterial small subunit ribosomal RNA". Lineage: Bacteria; Bacillati; Bacillota; Bacilli; Caryophanales; Staphylococcaceae. The record is from RNAcentral.